GAUGAACGCUGGCGGCGUGCCUAAUACAUGCAAGUCGAGCGAACGGACGAGAAGCUUGCUUUUCUGAUGUUAGCGGCGGACGGGUGAGUAACACGUGGAUAACCUACCUAUAAGACUGGGAUAACUUCGGGAAACCGGAGCUAAUACCGGAUAAUAUUUUGAACCGCAUGGUUCAAAAGUGAAAGACGGUCUUGCUGUCACUUAUAGAUGGAUCCGCGCUGCAUUAGCUAGUUGGUAAGGUAACGGCUUACCAAGGCAACGAUGCAUAGCCGACCUGAGAGAGUGGUCGGCCACACGGGAACUGAGCCGCGGUCCAGACUCCUACGGGAGGCAGCAGUAGGAAAUCUUCCGCAAUGGGCGAAAGCCUGACGGAGCAACGCCGCGUGAGUGAUGAAAAUCUUCGGAUCGUAAAACUCUGUUAUUAGGGAAGAACAUAUGUGUAAGUAGCUGUACACAUCUUGACGGUACCUAAUCAGAAAGCCACGGCUAACUACGUG
RNAcentral lists this ribosomal RNA (497 nucleotides) under uncultured bacterium. RNAcentral describes it as "partial 16S ribosomal RNA". It matches the Rfam family "Bacterial small subunit ribosomal RNA", at positions 28 to 507 of the family's 1533-position model. The record is from RNAcentral.